RNAcentral lists this ribosomal RNA (253 nucleotides) under uncultured bacterium. RNAcentral's name for it is "partial 16S ribosomal RNA". It matches the Rfam family "Bacterial small subunit ribosomal RNA", at positions 524 to 776 of the family's 1533-position model. The record is from RNAcentral.
UACGUAGGGUGCAAGCGUUAAUCGGAAUUACUGGGCGUAAAGCGUGCGCAGGCGGUUGUGCAAGACAGAUGUGAAAUCCCCGGGCUUAACCUGGGAAUUGCAUUUGUGACUGCACGGCUAGAGUGUGUCAGAGGGGGGUAGAAUUCCACGUGUAGCAGUGAAAUGCGUAGAUAUGUGGAGGAAUACCGAUGGCGAAGGCAGCCCCCUGGGAUAACACUGACGCUCAUGGUCGAAAGCGUGGGGAGCAAACAGG